UACGUAGGUGGCAAGCGUUGUUCGGAAUUAUUGGGCGUAAAGAGCUCGUAGGCGGUUUCGUUAGUCGGGUGUGAAAACCCCAGGCUCAACCUGGGGACGCCACCCGAUACUGCGAUGACUAGAGUCCGGUAGGGGAGUGUGGAAUUCCUGGUGUAGCGGUGAAAUGCGCAGAUAUCAGGAGGAACACCAACGGCGAAGGCAGCACUCUGGGCCGGAACUGACGCUGAGGAGCGAAAGCGUGGGGAGCGAACAGG
RNAcentral lists this ribosomal RNA (254 nucleotides) under uncultured bacterium. RNAcentral describes it as "partial 16S ribosomal RNA". It matches the Rfam family "Bacterial small subunit ribosomal RNA", at positions 524 to 776 of the family's 1533-position model. The record is from RNAcentral.